UUCUAUUUAAAAUCUAAUAAAAUAAAUAACUUUAUAAAAGUCACUACAAGAAAAAAGCUUAAGUUCGAGGGAAAAAUCUGUCAGACAUAAGCCUAUUCAGUCGAAAAUAUAUUAUUCCCGAUGGAAAUAUCCGUCAGAUAUUCGGUCGUAAAUAUUCGCGUCGAAAAUAAGAUCCGUCAAAAAUUCCGUCGAAAAUUCCUUAUCCUCGACGAACGUAUCUCCGACAGAUGUUCGUCGAACAUUAAUUAUCUUCGACAAAAUAUAUAGGACGAAACUUUUCGUCGAAUAUAACAGUACCUAUUUUCGACGGAUGUAUUCCCUCAGAAUCAUCUUAUUUUCGACUGAAAAAUAAAAUAACCCACUAUUCAUUAAAAUUGGCUAAUUAUUAACUUCGACGGAAUUUGCGUCGAAGAUAGAGCGUUUACGACGGAUACGUUUCGUCGAAGAUAACGUAUGUUCGACUGAAAUUAGGAUAUUUUGGCAUAUAUUAAAAAUUGAUUAUUUGUUAACUCCGAGGGAAGUUCCGUCGCAAAUACCCUAUUCCGUCGGAAUUAACUAUCCAUUUUUUUAAUUGCAGAUUUUAAAAGUUCAGUUUCCAGGUAUUUAAACCCAUUAAUGUACCUGUAACCUAUCACAACCCAAUACACAGUAACAUAAACCUGUAUCUCACAUUCAAAUAUGCAACGUAGCACUAAAACUUAAUCUUCAACUCAUUAUCAUUCACAUUCACAUUCAAAUAUCCACCAAAACGUAUUAUAAGCUAACCAAUUACAAAUAUAAGCUAAUGUUCUAUAAAUGUUAAACAAUAUAAUUUACAAUAGUUGUACAGACACAAUUAGACAAUACAAUAUAUACAAAAGUUCUACAAUAACAUGAAUAUAUACAAAUGAACUAUAAACUAGUAAAAGUAUCAUCAUCAGGCGGAGGUGAACGACGCUGCUCUGGUGUAUGGAAAUCAGACUCGUGCUCCUACUCAUCAUCGCCAGCCUGGUCGCUAUCGCCACCUUGUUGAUAGAAUUAAAAAUAUAAAUCAUUAGUCCGUAUAUAUAUAUAUAUAUGUGAGAAUUAACAAACUAGCCUUAAUUGAAAAACAUAAACAAUAAGAAUAACUGAGUAGGUGGGGGCGGACGAAAAGCCUCCUCCAAGAGUGUAAUCACCAUCCGGAGCAUCUCGGUGCUCCAAGCGUCGAACUGCUCCUGUGGCAAUCCUGUAUUCUCUGCAGAGGCCCCUGCUAUAAUAUCCUGAGCAAUCUGGUGAAGACGAGAACUGGAAGGCAACUGCUGACGCCGAAAGAUCGGAUCGGUAUGGAACCUAUUCGACACGGCCCCUAUCAGCCGCCGGAAGAUAUCGUCAUCCAAGCCAGCGCCCAUAUGAGAUGGUUCGACAUGUGCUCUCGGACGCUGGCUGGAACCUAUAAAGAGAUACAAAUUUGAUUACUAAUAAUAAUUUAUAUAAUGUGAUAAAUUCGGAUAAUUUCAUGAAACAUAAAAAAAU
This 1494-nucleotide long non-coding RNA is filed under the name Panax ginseng (ginseng). RNAcentral describes it as "long non-coding RNA (PGIN_LNC019165)". Lineage: Eukaryota; Viridiplantae; Streptophyta; Magnoliopsida; Apiales; Araliaceae. The record is from RNAcentral.